This 78-nucleotide transfer RNA is filed under the name Mesorhizobium sp. RNAcentral's name for it is "tRNA-Arg". It matches the Rfam family "tRNA". Rfam says of the family: Transfer RNA (tRNA) molecules are approximately 80 nucleotides in length. Lineage: Bacteria; Pseudomonadati; Pseudomonadota; Alphaproteobacteria; Hyphomicrobiales; Phyllobacteriaceae. The record is from RNAcentral.
GCGCUCGUAGCUCAACCAGGAUAGAGCCACCACCGAAGCCUCGGGCAGAUGCAGGUUCGAUCCCUGCCGAGUGCACCA